This 276-nucleotide long non-coding RNA is filed under the name Sorghum bicolor (sorghum). Its description in RNAcentral is "long non-coding RNA (SBIC_LNC002738)". Lineage: Eukaryota; Viridiplantae; Streptophyta; Magnoliopsida; Poales; Poaceae. The record is from RNAcentral.
GGUGGAAUACGUCGAUCAUUAGAGCUGUCACUACCCUAAGGCUACCACAACAAUCCGCAGGAUUGGGUGCAAUUCCAGGUAAUUGCAAGACUAAACACCACGUCUAAUCUAUUAAUUACUACUCUAGCGUUAUAAAGACUAGAGCACAUGAUGCAAGCGGGAAUCCAAUAAAUAACUUGAAUGUAAAUAAAAGUAAUUAAAGAACUCAGGAAUUAUGAAUUGAAGAACCUGGAGAACGAUGAAGAACGAACCAGAUGCUGCAAAAGUAUAAUGUUG